GGCGAGUUCAAGUGCAGAACUUAAUUAAUCGAUUUCACAUAAUCAGGUACCAAUUUCUGUAUUCAACGGUGAUUCUCCGUAUUAAGCAUCAUCUCUUUGGGUUGUUUUAGAGGGACUUUCAAACACAACACAAGGACACACUUGGUAUUCAACGGUGAUUCUCCGUAUUAAGCAUCAUGGAAUGAAGUCUAUGCUGUUUCAUUCUCUUCAGGGAAUGCAAGUUUCAGGUCUUGCUGUUGUUACUGCAGAAUGUGGGAAUAGAAAGAAACUUCUUGGGACUGCAAUACUCCAGGUUUGGCAUCGUUUAAAGAACACAUGGCUGACAAGUUACACACAGUUUCAUCUCGUGCUAUUUUUUAUGGUCCAUCCAAAGGUCGAGAUUGCUGAAGGGGUUCAGGAUAUGUGUAAAUUUUGCAAUACAGGCUUCACCAGACACAACAACGUGACAUCGAUUCCAACAAAUUUCCCUACAGUUUUGGCUCAAUAUUAUAUGAAUCUGUAACUGCAAAAUCAACAAACUACAAAGGUUUAUAGCACUCUGUACACUGACACCGUUUUUUUUUGCUCUGGUUUGUUAAGUUUUGUUGCUGUAAGAAAUAUAUGAGCUGAUGGGUGUUCUGUCAGGUACGUAAAAAAAAGAGUUCAUGUGAUCACGUUUAACUGUUGGAAACGAGACAGGUUCAUGUCUGUGAUGUUUUCAGUGUUUGGCUUAAGAUUUGAGAUGGGGUUUCGGUCAUGGGAACUGGGAAUUCUCAAAAAGAACAUAUAGUUGUUUUUAUGUAACAGGAAUUAUCCAUCAUUCUCAAAUGACUGAUUCAAGCUCAGGAUACAGCUAGCAUCGGCACACUCAAACUGUUGCACUGAUAUGAUAAAAUGUGAUGCAGAAACCAAGUUAAAGCAGAUGGUUGUCUAAGUGGAUGGUUGUUGCUGGUUACAGAAAAAGCUUAGGCAUGUAAGUAAGACUUGGAAGUCUGAAGCCUGCUCAUUAUGUCUCAGGACAUUGACUUGGAAGUCUGAAGCCUGAAGCAUCCAAUGUGGUGAAAGAUGAAGAGUACAAAGGGGAGAUUUGGGUCGCGCUCUCCUUCAAGCCCUCGGAAAACCGAAGCAGGGGUAUCGAUGAGGAGUCCUAUGGAGGCUGGAAAAACUCUGAAGCAUCAUACUAAGAGAAGAAACCAUUGUGUGUUACUGUUUGAUUUGAGUCUUGGGAACAAAAUGUUGAGUUUUCAUUUGAAAGAGUCUUUUUGUUCAGAGAGUUAACUCAUGAAAAAUAGUGUCUUGAAUUUUCAAA
Long non-coding RNA from Arabidopsis lyrata subsp. lyrata, 1288 nucleotides. RefSeq lists it as uncharacterized. NCBI's taxonomy places the organism in Eukaryota, Viridiplantae, Streptophyta, Magnoliopsida, Brassicales, Brassicaceae. The transcript is spliced from 2 exons. The record is from RefSeq and is a predicted model, not a curated record.